This 79-nucleotide transfer RNA is filed under the name Patescibacteria group bacterium. RNAcentral's name for it is "tRNA-Lys". The record is from RNAcentral.
GCCGGUGUAACCGAUGGUGGCAAUGCGGCUCCGGCUUUUAACCGGACUCAUGUCAGUUCGACUCUGACCACCGGCACCA